AAGUAGCUAAAUCUCUCAGCGUUGUUGAGCGAUGUUCCAAACAACCCCUUUCCCCCCGGUGCUGAAAACACCCAAAAAGUGACACUGAUGUGAAAUAUAUUGUAAUAUUGUGGUUUUAGCUGCUGGAUAAUGUUACCUCUCCUGCUUGCUUACCGGU
Etheostoma cragini (Arkansas darter) is the source of this 157-nucleotide long non-coding RNA. RefSeq lists it as uncharacterized. The record is from RefSeq and is a predicted model, not a curated record. NCBI's taxonomy places the organism in Eukaryota, Metazoa, Chordata, Actinopteri, Perciformes, Percidae. The transcript has 3 exons.